GACGAACGCUGGCGGCGUGCUUAACACAUGCAAGUCGAACGGAAAGGCCCUGCUUUUGUGGGGUGCUCGAGUGGCGAACGGGUGAGUAACACGUGAGUAACCUGCCCUUGACUUUGGGAUGACUUCAGGAAACUGGGGCUAUACCGGAUAGGAGCUCCUGCUGCCUGGUGGGGGUUGGAAAGUUUCGGCGGUUGGGGAUGGACUCGCGGCUUAUCAGCUUGUUGGUGGGGUAGUGGCUUACCAAGGCUUUGACGGGUAGCCGGCCUGAGAGGGUGACCGGCCACAUUGGGACUGAGAUACGGCCCAGACUCCUACGGGAGGCAGCAGUGGGGAAUAUUGCACAAUGGGCGGAAGCCUGAUGCAGCAACGCCGCGUGCGGGAUGACGGCCUUCGGGUUGUAAACCGCUUUCGCCUGUGACGAAGCGUGAGUGACGGUAAUGGGUAAAGAAGCACCGGCUAACUACGUG
This 467-nucleotide ribosomal RNA is filed under the name uncultured bacterium. Its description in RNAcentral is "partial 16S ribosomal RNA". It matches the Rfam family "Bacterial small subunit ribosomal RNA", at positions 28 to 507 of the family's 1533-position model. The record is from RNAcentral.